RNAcentral lists this long non-coding RNA (1893 nucleotides) under Gopherus agassizii (Agassiz's desert tortoise). RNAcentral describes it as "lncRNA (ENSGAGG00000015088.1)". The record is from RNAcentral. Lineage: Eukaryota; Metazoa; Chordata; Testudines; Testudinidae.
CCUCUGCCCGGGAAGGCUGCCGCCAGCCGGACAGGCCCGGCCUGCCUGCGGAGACGCGCUGCUGCCCCUUGCCCGGCUCGUGGGAGGCGGCUGAACAGAGGGGUGCAGAGCUGCCCGAGGCCUGCUCCGCGGCCCCCCGUUCCCGACCGGCCGGACAGGGACCGGCGCGGCGCUGACAGCACCCAGCUCCCCCGCGGCAGAUGCCCCCCGGGCGGGGGUAGAGCGGGUUCACCUUGCGGAGAGGAGAGGGGUUCUGCUUACACUGUCCCCGCCGGCCUCAGCCACGAAGCGCGAACACCACGGCGACCCACGCUCGCACCCCGGCAGCAGGCGGAACAGGCGGAGCCCACGCCGCCUCCCAUUGGGCGGGGACGCCCAGGGAGGAAAGGUCACGCAGAAGGAGGGGGCGCCUCGUGCUCGCACGGGCGUUGAGGGAGGGUGGCGAGUCACGCGCUGGCUCGCCCUCCCCCGGGCUGUGUGUGGUGCGCGCACGGUACGGCUCUCAGCCCCGCUUCCCGCCCUGGAGGCCGCUGGGCCUGUCACAAAUCCAGCGGGAGCGGCUCUGCCCCGCCCCGCCCACCUGCUCCUGUGCGUGGCCAGAGACAGGCGCGGCCCAUUCCCUCCAGCCGAGCUAUCCCGGCAAUAAGGAACUAGCUCCGUAUGGUGCCGGCGGCAGGCCCCAGGGAGCGAUCACCGAGGAAAGGGGAAAUUACUCCAAAUGUACAAUGGCGCAGAGAUCAGGCUUCUCGGGCUCUUUGUGUUCAAAAUUAGCGCUUGAUCCCAACUCCUCAAGCACACUCCACAGAAAAUUCUUACUGAAGCCAGUUUGUGCUCUCAGAUUAUCCCAGCUUCUUGUGAUCAGCCUAAACCUUAAAGGUAUGUUUACUGUGUAAGAACAGAGUUAGUGGCACUCAACUCCAUGGACCCAGGGCUUGAAUGUACAUACUGCGCAUGAACCCUCAGUUUAGAAUUUCAAGACUCAGGCCCAAUAUUCCAAUGUCUGCACUGUAGUAUGCAGAUCUGAGUCAAACCAGCAUAUCCCAGGCUUCCUAGUGUUCUCCCCAGCUGUGACUGCUCUGGUUUGUGAUGAAGUGUGGGAAAACUGAUGGCCACCCUAUGCAUUACAGGAAAUUGUCACCAUUUCAAGAGCUUCUCUUGCUUGCUUGCUUUCACUUCUGUUUCUGCUAACAGAUAGAGCAUCCAUAAGAAGCUGGUGGACAUUCUGACAGUGUUUUCUGAGCUACCAAAGGUGCCUGUUGGAAAAGGGGGACAACACGGACAUGAAAAAAUUGAACUGGCUGACGCUGCUUGUGACUCUUAGUGUAGCCGCUGAUGCCCUGGACCAGCACUUCUGGAGCAGGGCCACAAGCACAGACGGGGGAUUCCAUCACCAGGGAUGACCAGCAAUGAGUCCAGCACUUUCACAUGAAGAAAGCUACAUUUCUGGAGCUGCUGAGCAGCUUGCCCCAAACCUUCAGUGUCAGGACAGACAAAUGAGGCCAGCCGUUCUGGUCCAGGAACAGAUUUCUAUAACCAUGUGGAAACUGGCUAUCCCAAACUGCUACACGUCUGUUGCUAACCAUUCAAUGUUGGAAAGUCAACCAUGGGUAAAGUGGUUGCAGAGGUUUUUGAGGCAAUCAGGCAUGUGAGUUAUCCAAAGGUAGUGGGCAUAAACAAGAUCCCUGAAGUAAUUGCUAGUUUUAAGAGAAUGGGAUUUCCGAAAUGCAUAGAGGCCAUAUAUGAAAAUUAUGUGGCCAUAGUUCACCCUCCCCAAAAAGCAGAAGCACGUAAAUCACAAUGGGUACCACUCUAUUAUUAUGCAGGCCCUUGUACAUGCCAACAUGGGCUGCACUGGAAAGGCUUGUGAUGCCAGGGUUUUCCACUGAUCAGGAA